Non-coding RNA from Arabidopsis thaliana (thale cress), 420 nucleotides. The record is from RefSeq. NCBI's taxonomy places the organism in Eukaryota, Viridiplantae, Streptophyta, Magnoliopsida, Brassicales, Brassicaceae.
AUUAAAUCCUCAAGAACCAUACAGCUUGAUAUGAGAGUCUUCAAACCUGAGUCGCCAACAAACUUAACCCCCUUUAAAUAUAUACAAAAGGUAAAGAAACCAAUUUUGAUUUCGGAUGAUAAAAGACAACACAAUGGAGAUUUAAAUCCACCAAAGUCGCACAAAAAUAGAACAAGAUAGGCAUCUUAACUCUCUAACGUUUUUUAGAGUCUUUGGAACCUUAGUUAUGAUGCCUUUCUCGCUCUAUACAUGUUCGAAUUUGGUGAAUUUGACUCUCUAAUGUGUUGUAUUUGAUAAUCCAAAUUCAAAAUCGGUUUCUAUACCUUGUGUCAAUGCUAUGUAUUUAGAGAAGGUCAAGUUUGAUGACGAUUCCAUUUUGGAGACUCUCUAAUUAAGUUGUCCUAUUCUUGAGGAUUUAAC